UACGUAGGUGGCAAGCGUUAUCCGGAAUUAUUGGGCGUAAAGCGCGCGCAGGUGGUUUCUUAAGUCUGGUGUAAAAGGCAGUGGCUCAACCAUUGUGUGCAUUGGAAACUGUUAGACUUGAGUGCAGUAGAGGAGAGUGGAAUUCCAUGUGUAGCGGUGAAAUGCGUAGAUAUAUGGAGGAACACCGGUGGCGAAAGCGGCUCUCUGGACUGUAACUGACACUGAGGCUCGAAAGCGUGGGUAGCAAACAGG
This 252-nucleotide ribosomal RNA is filed under the name uncultured microorganism. RNAcentral describes it as "partial 16S ribosomal RNA". It matches the Rfam family "Bacterial small subunit ribosomal RNA", at positions 524 to 776 of the family's 1533-position model. The record is from RNAcentral.